RNAcentral lists this unclassified non-coding RNA (332 nucleotides) under Hevea brasiliensis (rubber tree). Lineage: Eukaryota; Viridiplantae; Streptophyta; Magnoliopsida; Malpighiales; Euphorbiaceae. The record is from RNAcentral.
GUUUUUUCGCUCGUCAUGGAAGUCGGAGAAGCAGCAGCGCGGCGGAUGGUUAUUGGAUCUUGUGGUAAGGCUAUUAUCAAUCCGAUAAUGAUGAGAUUCCGACCGAUUGCGCCCAAGCCUGUCCCCGGAGGCUCUAUUUCCGGUGAUGCAUCGUCGUUGGAGAGUAAGAACUCGUUGAUUUCCAAAGGAAGAACAAAGAGGAAGUACGUUAGGGUUAGGAAAUAUAAUAGGAAGAAGAAAACUACAAGAAACACCACAGCCAGUACCGACUGUAAAACAAACGAGGAGAUCGUCGAUCAUAAUCAGGCCGCCGUGACGACGGCGAUGACGAC